This is a long non-coding RNA of Helicoverpa armigera (cotton bollworm), 580 nucleotides long. RefSeq lists it as uncharacterized. Lineage: Eukaryota; Metazoa; Arthropoda; Insecta; Lepidoptera; Noctuidae. The transcript has 3 exons. The record is from RefSeq and is a predicted model, not a curated record.
UAGAUAUCAAUUCGUCAGUUAAUUUGCACAUAAUUUCAUGCAGCAAGCAGUUUGUGCUCAUUGUCGACCUAUAAUAAUUUAAAUAAAACCGUUGAAAGGAGACUCAUUUUGUGAACCAUCAUGGAUAACAGAAGAUGUGAAGCUUGCGGUACCACAGAGGUCUGGCACACUAGAAACAAAAAGUUGAAGUUGCUUUAUUUCAAGUUUCCUCCGGAUCAAGACGUCUGCCGAGAGUGGUUAAGACUAAUUGGAAAUGAGGAAUUAGUACAUCUACCAACGAUAAAGCUGCAAAAGGAAAAAUAUGUCUGCGAAAACCACUUUGCAGAAAAUGAUUUCAACAAAAAAGGCAAUCUUCUGAAACGACAUGCAAUACCAACUUUAAAUAUGAAUGCGUCGCCUCUCACUGAUGAACAAUUGGCAAAAUUUCCAGUACAUAUGUUUAGGCAUUCGGAGGAAAAAGGUUUUUAUCCAUCAGCUGAACAAACUGAACAAAAUGAAAAUAUCUAAGAAUAAAAGCAUAAACUUUUAAGUAUUGAAUUAGAUAUGUAAAUAAGUAAUCAGGUAAAAAUAAUAAAAUAUU